RNAcentral lists this long non-coding RNA (280 nucleotides) under Ananas comosus (pineapple). RNAcentral's name for it is "long non-coding RNA (ACOM_LNC014170)". Lineage: Eukaryota; Viridiplantae; Streptophyta; Magnoliopsida; Poales; Bromeliaceae. The record is from RNAcentral.
UAUAAGGCGCAUCGUAUUUUGAUUCUCAAAGUUUAAUUUAUUACAGGUUCUUGUUGAAACUUUAUGAAUUAUAGUAGUCAAGUCCUACAAUCCAAUCUAGUUGUCUAAAUAUUAACAAAUUGUUAAUAUAGAAGUAACGUGAAAGUAUUAUGAUUCAUGAUCACUUUUUUAUCGAUAUUUAUCGAUAUUUAGUCAAAUAAAAUUUGCGCCGGAAAUUACAACAAAUUAAAAUUCGAGGACCAGAAGUGUAAUUUACUCAAAUAAAAGUUAAAAUGGAUUC